UCGGCAGAUUCCAGUCGGUCCUCUCUUGCGGCAUUCUUCUGGGCUGUGUCGGCAGCUCUGCUCUCUAGCCAUCCAUUUUCUCGGACUGGGAGUUCUUCCCCGCAUCUUGAUGUUCUUAGGUCUUGAUGACAGGCUUCUUGCACAUCCAUCAUCUUGGUUUUGACGGUGCUGUCUUGUAACAGGCUGUUACGUUAGACUCCUUGGGGUCUGCCAUACAGCCUCCUUCCCUCAGUAUUUUGGACACUAUAGGUCGUCUUGCUGGAUAGCACCUCCCGUCCGGGAGUCAUUCUUCUUGCUGAGAGUUUUCUCUCACUUUGAGUCACCUUGUCUGUAGUGUUCUGUGUUAUGUUGGUCUGUGCACAGGUGUGUUUGGCUUGGAGCUGCUCUGCCCGGGGAUGUAGAGUCAGGGGUAGUUGGAACAGCGAUAAGAGUCUAUGGGUGAAAUGUUGAUUUGUCUUAAUUGUUUAGGCAAGGGUUGUACAGUCAUCUGGGAUCGAGUAGGCAUUGGUGGGCUGCGUGGACAGCAACACCGAGAGUUUUUUACAGAAAUGAUUGUAGCCAUGCGGCAUGGGCUGUUGAGGGGUGGUGAAGCGGAUAUCAGUCUCUAAGGUGUUGAGGCUUGCAUGUGAUGGGCUUAAAGUUUGGCCCUGUUUUUUUUUGUUUUGUUUUUUUUUUUUUUAAAUGGCUGGCUGUAGCUGGAGUACUGGUAUUCCUAGAUGGAAUGAAGAUCUCUGGAGUUGUUAAGCUCUUGCUCUGCAUCCAGGCUGACUCGUUCAAUAUGGUUUUUUUUUUCAGUUGCGGAGAGACAAGAUGCGUGCCCCAGAGCGACGGAGGAGGGGAGCGGAGUGCCGUAAGGAGGCGCAAAGCAAGGAGCGAAGCGGGCCAUCGGUACUGGAGGUGACUCGGGCAAGGUGAGCUGCGACUACUGGGUUAAAGGAACUGUUCCUUUGGAGGUGUCGUAUUGUUGGCAAAGUUGGAAGCAUCCCUUGUUGUUUGUUUUUUUUGCAGGCGGUACGCAUGCCUUGACGUGGCAAGCUCUUGAUGACAGAGCGGGGUGGUCGAGCGGCCAAGGUGGCACACGCAGCCUUGGAGGGGUGAAGCCGCAGGCCGAUGAGCAGUGUGAUAAGGCGCUGUGUGGGCCACCUUUGGAAUGGGAUGAGCGUUUAAGGUACCAUGAGAGAUGAUGGCUGCAGGGUGUGACUCUGGAAUGAGCGGAUGAUGAAGAGGAACCUGGUGGCUGCCGGAUCAUCCCAGUUAGCCCAUGUGAUUUUUGUGGAGGAUGCACUCGUAGCCUUGGCCCUCUGAAAGU
This is a long non-coding RNA of Aquila chrysaetos chrysaetos, 1309 nucleotides long. RefSeq lists it as uncharacterized. The record is from RefSeq and is a predicted model, not a curated record. The transcript has 6 exons. Lineage: Eukaryota; Metazoa; Chordata; Aves; Accipitriformes; Accipitridae.